UAGUCCACGCCGUAAACGAUGUUCACUCGCUGCUAGCGAUACACAGUUAGUGGCUAAGCGAAAGUGAUAAGUGAACCACCUGGGGAGUACGUCGGCAACGAUGAAACUCAAAGGAAUUGACGGGGGCCCGCACAAGCGGUGGAACAUGUGGUUUAAUUCGAUGAUACGCGAGGAACCUUACCUGGACUUAAAUGUAGAUUGCAUAGAGUAGAAAUAUUCUUUUCUUCGGACUAUCUACAAGGUGCUGCAUGGUUGUCGUCAGCUCGUGCCGUGAGGUGUCGGGUUAAGUCCCAUAACGAGCGCAACCCCUAUCGUUAGUUGCUAACAGGUCAAGCUGAGGACUCUGACGAGACUGCCGGUGUAAACCGCGAGGAAGGUGGGGAUGACGUCAAAUCAGCACAGCCCUUACGUCCGGGGCUACACACGUGUUACAAUGGUCGGUACAAAGGGCAGCUACUGCGUGAGCAGAUGCGAAUCUCUAAAACCGGUCUCAGUUCGGAUCGAAGUCUG
This 510-nucleotide ribosomal RNA is filed under the name uncultured bacterium. Its description in RNAcentral is "bacterial SSU rRNA". It matches the Rfam family "Bacterial small subunit ribosomal RNA", at positions 791 to 1307 of the family's 1533-position model. The record is from RNAcentral.